Molecule: small nucleolar RNA, 133 nt
Organism: Hippoglossus stenolepis (Pacific halibut)
Lineage: Eukaryota; Metazoa; Chordata; Actinopteri; Pleuronectiformes; Pleuronectidae
Product: small nucleolar RNA SNORA17
Exons: 1
Source: RefSeq, a predicted model, not a curated record
CCUGUCCCUUGAGGCGUUACAGCUCAACUGUCAAAGUGUUGCAGCUGUGUCAAAGGGUGGCAGAGAGCGACUGGUGGUGGUCUGCACUGAGACUCUACUACACGGAGGACUCGGAGUCAUACUCACAGUUAAA